This 448-nucleotide ribosomal RNA is filed under the name uncultured bacterium. Its description in RNAcentral is "bacterial SSU rRNA". It matches the Rfam family "Bacterial small subunit ribosomal RNA", at positions 28 to 458 of the family's 1533-position model. The record is from RNAcentral.
GAUGAACGCUGGCGGCGUGCUUAACACAUGCAAGUCGAGCGAAGCACUUUUGCGGAUUUCUUCGGAUUGAAGCAAUUGUGACUGAGCGGCGGACGGGUGAGUAACGCGUGGGUAACCUGCCUCAUACAGGGGGAUAACAGUUGGAAACGGCUGCUAAUACCGCAUAAGCGCACAGUACCGCAUGGUACCGUGUGAAAAACUCCGGUGGUAUGGGAUGGACCCGCGUCUGAUUAGGUAGUUGGUGGGGUAACGGCCUACCAAGCCGACGAUCAGUAGCCGACCUGAGAGGGUGACCGGCCACAUUGGGACUGAGACACGGCCCAAACUCCUACGGGAGGCAGCAGUGGGGAAUAUUGCACAAUGGGGGAAACCCUGAUGCAGCGACGCCGCGUGAGCGAUGAAGUAUUUCGGUAUGUAAAGCUCUAUCAGCAGGGAAGAAAAUGACGGU